CCCUUAGAUGUUCUGGGCCGCACGCGUGCUACACUGAGUGGAUCAGCGGGUCAGGUUGCGCGAAAGUGUUUCCUAAUCUUGAAAUCCGCUCGUGAUGGGGAUUGACGGUUGCAAUUUUCUGUCAUGAACGAGGAAUACCUUGUAAGCGCGGGUCAUCAUCCCGCGCUGAAUACGUCCCUGCCCUUUGUACACACCGCCCGUCGCUCCUACCGAUUGAAUGUUCCGGUGAGCUCUUCGGACUGCGCGGUCUGCAGUUUCUGCGUUCCGUGCGGAAAGUUGCGCAAACCUUAACAUUUAGAGGAAGGAGAAGUCGUAACA
Molecule: ribosomal RNA, 318 nt
Filed under: uncultured eukaryote
Lineage: Eukaryota
Description: partial 18S ribosomal RNA
Rfam family: Eukaryotic small subunit ribosomal RNA
Source: RNAcentral